CGAACGGGUGGAGUAACACGUGGGCAACCUGCCCAAAANAGGGGGAUAACACUUGGAAACAGGUGCUAAUACCGCAUAACCAUAGUUACCGCAUGGUAACUAUGUAAAAGGUGGCUAUGCUACCGCUUUUGGAUGGGCCCGCGGCGCAUUAGCUAGUUGGUGGGGUAAAGGCUUACCAAGGCAAUGAUGCGUAGCCGAACUGAGAGGUUGAUCGGCCACAUUGGGACUGAGACACGGCCCAAACUCCUACGGGAGGCAGCAG
Molecule: ribosomal RNA, 262 nt
Filed under: uncultured bacterium
Lineage: Bacteria
Description: partial 16S ribosomal RNA
Rfam family: Bacterial small subunit ribosomal RNA
Source: RNAcentral